GUAGCGAAGGGCCGUCGCACACCCUGCCAAGGUUGGGGUCGUGGGUUCGAAUCCCAUCGCCCGCUCCA
This 68-nucleotide transfer RNA is filed under the name Aureimonas pseudogalii. RNAcentral describes it as "tRNA-Gly". It matches the Rfam family "tRNA". From Rfam's summary of the family: Transfer RNA (tRNA) molecules are approximately 80 nucleotides in length. Their secondary structure includes four short double-helical elements and three loops (D, anti-codon, and T loops). The record is from RNAcentral. Lineage: Bacteria; Pseudomonadati; Pseudomonadota; Alphaproteobacteria; Hyphomicrobiales; Aurantimonadaceae.